This 73-nucleotide transfer RNA is filed under the name Treponema sp. RNAcentral's name for it is "tRNA-Thr". It matches the Rfam family "tRNA". Rfam says of the family: Transfer RNA (tRNA) molecules are approximately 80 nucleotides in length. Their secondary structure includes four short double-helical elements and three loops (D, anti-codon, and T loops). Further hydrogen bonds mediate the characteristic L-shaped molecular structure. tRNAs have two regions of fundamental functional importance: the anti-codon, which is responsible for specific mRNA codon recognition, and the 3' end, to which the tRNAs corresponding amino acid is attached (by aminoacyl-tRNA synthetases). tRNAs cope with the degeneracy of the genetic code in two manners: having more than one tRNA (with a specific anti-codon) for a particular amino acid; and 'wobble' base-pairing, i.e. permitting non-standard base-pairing at the 3rd anti-codon position. Lineage: Bacteria; Pseudomonadati; Spirochaetota; Spirochaetia; Treponematales; Treponemataceae. The record is from RNAcentral.
GCCAAAGUAGCUCAGUCGGUAGAGCGACGCUCUCGUAAAGCGUAGGUCUGGGGUCCGAUUCCCCACUUUGGCU